This 584-nucleotide ribosomal RNA is filed under the name Nakaseomyces glabratus. RNAcentral describes it as "eukaryotic LSU rRNA". It matches the Rfam family "Eukaryotic large subunit ribosomal RNA", at positions 66 to 655 of the family's 3401-position model. The record is from RNAcentral. Lineage: Eukaryota; Fungi; Ascomycota; Saccharomycetes; Saccharomycetales; Saccharomycetaceae.
CAACUGGGAUUGCCUUAGUAACGGCGAGUGAAGCGGCAAAAGCUCAAAUUUGAAAUCUGGUACCUUUGGUGCCCGAGUUGUAAUUUGGAGAGUACCACUUUGGGACUGUACUUUGCCUAUGUUCCUUGGAACAGGACGUCAUGGAGGGUGAGAAUCCCGUGUGGCGAGGGUGUCAGUUCUUUGUAAAGGGUGCUCGAAGAGUCGAGUUGUUUGGGAAUGCAGCUCUAAGUGGGUGGUAAAUUCCAUCUAAAGCUAAAUACAGGCGAGAGACCGAUAGCGAACAAGUACAGUGAUGGAAAGAUGAAAAGAACUUUGAAAAGAGAGUGAAAAAGUACGUGAAAUUGUUGAAAGGGAAGGGCAUUUGAUCAGACAUGGUGUUUUGCGCCCCUUGCCUCUCGUGGGCUUGGGACUCUCGCAGCUCACUGGGCCAGCAUCGGUUUUGGCGGCCGGAAAAAACCUAGGGAAUGUGGCUCUGCGCCUCGGUGUAGAGUGUUAUAGCCCUGGGGAAUACGGCCAGUCGGGACCGAGGACUGCGAUACUUGUUAUCUAGGAUGCUGGCAUAAUGGUUAUAUGCCGCCCGUCUU